CCUACGGGAGGCUGCAGUGAGGAAUAUUGGUCAAUGGUCGGGAGACUGAACCAGCCAAGCCGCGUGAGGGAGGAAGGUACAGAGUAUCGUAAACCUCUUUUGUCAGGGAACAAAGGCGGGGACGUGUCCCCGGAUGAGUGUACCUGAAGAAAAAGCAUCGGCUAACUCCGUGCCAGCAGCCGCGGUAAUACGGGGGAUGCGAGCGUUAUCCGGAUUUAUUGGGUUUAAAGGGGGCGCAGGCGGUCUUGUAAGUCAGCGGUCAAAGCCCGGGGCUCAACCCCGGCCCGCCGUUGAAACUGGCAGUCGCGAGUUGGAGAGAAGUAUGCGGAAUGCGCGGUGUAGCGGUGAAAUGCAUAGAUAUCGCGCAGAACUCCGAUUGCGAAGGCAGCAUGCCGGCUCCACACUGACGCUGAGGCACGAAAGCGUGGGUAUCGAACAGGAUUAGAUACCCGGGUAGUC
RNAcentral lists this ribosomal RNA (459 nucleotides) under uncultured bacterium. RNAcentral's name for it is "partial 16S ribosomal RNA". It matches the Rfam family "Bacterial small subunit ribosomal RNA", at positions 338 to 795 of the family's 1533-position model. The record is from RNAcentral.